GUCGCCUUGCCAGAGUGGUUAAUGGGCUGGCCUGCUAGUUUGGGAUUAAAUCCUGGAGAGCCGAUAGCCAGUGUCUUCGGACGCGCAGGUUCGAAUCCUGUGGGCGACG
This is a transfer RNA of Colletotrichum incanum, 109 nucleotides long. It matches the Rfam family "tRNA". Rfam says of the family: Transfer RNA (tRNA) molecules are approximately 80 nucleotides in length. Their secondary structure includes four short double-helical elements and three loops (D, anti-codon, and T loops). NCBI's taxonomy places the organism in Eukaryota, Fungi, Ascomycota, Sordariomycetes, Glomerellales, Glomerellaceae. The record is from Rfam.